CAAUAGCGUAUAUUUAAGUUGUUGCAGUUAAAAAGCUCGUAGUUGGAUUUCGGUUAAGAGCGACCGGUCCGCCGUUUGGUGUGCACUGGUUGGUUUUAACUUCCUGUAGAGGACGUGCUCUGGGUUUAACGACCUGGACUCGGAGUCUACGUGGUUACUUUGAAAAAAUUAGAGUGUUCAAAGCGGGCUUACGCUUGAAUAUUUCAGCAUGGAAUAACACUAUAGGACUCCUGUCCUAUUUCGUUGGUCUCGGGACGGGAGUAAUGAUUAAGAGGAGCAGUUGGGGGCAUUCGUAUUUCAUUGUCAGAGGUGAAAUUCUUGGAUUUAUGAAAGACGAACUUCUGCGAAAGCAUUUGCCAAGGAUGUUUNCAUUA
RNAcentral lists this ribosomal RNA (374 nucleotides) under uncultured eukaryote. Its description in RNAcentral is "partial 18S ribosomal RNA". It matches the Rfam family "Eukaryotic small subunit ribosomal RNA", at positions 592 to 975 of the family's 1831-position model. The record is from RNAcentral.